Molecule: non-coding RNA, 682 nt
Organism: Salmo salar (Atlantic salmon)
Lineage: Eukaryota; Metazoa; Chordata; Actinopteri; Salmoniformes; Salmonidae
Source: RefSeq, a predicted model, not a curated record
CAGGUCUUUCCACCUUGACUGCUGUAAGUCAUGGUAUGCUGCACGGGUGGUGCAGGAGUUCCAUGAUCCAUUCUUUGCAGGAGUAAGGUUUGAACUGGGUGCAGGUCUAUACAUGGGUUGGGGAGCUGCCUGUUUGGCCAUUCUAGGUGGGGUCAUGCUCUGCUGUUCCUGUAAGAGGGGUCCAUCAGUACCAACCACAGGGGGAUAUUCAUACAACUACUCCAAAACAAGUGGUGGACAAAAGAUCUACAGGGGCAGAACAUGUGUCAGAAGUCUGGGAGUUCAAAAGCUUAUGUUUAAAGCAGUUUAAAAUGUUUUUUUUUUUUUUUCAAUCUAAUUGUUUGUUUGUCUGUUUCCAUUUGUUUCUUCACCAAAGUGUGAAUUUACUGGUUUGAAUUUGCCAUUAUAUAUUUUUUGUUGUCUUGAGUCACUGUGAAUAUUAAUGCAAUGUUUAUUACUUUGAAAUGUAUUGAAAAUAAAAACAUUGCUCUGUUGAUGAUUAUUGUUCUAUUGUAUUGGAUAUCCAAAUGAAUGGAAAAUAUAAGCUAUGCCACAACUCCAAAUGAAUGGAAAAGAUACCCACUGGGCACAGACGUCUAAUCCACAUUGGUUUAACGUAAUUUCAUUGAAAUGACGUGGGAAACAACGUUGAUUCAAUCCAGUGUAUAAGAAUCAAAUACAG